Glossina fuscipes is the source of this 1885-nucleotide RNA transcript. It is a transcript of the gene named carboxypeptidase M, with no coding region annotated. NCBI's taxonomy places the organism in Eukaryota, Metazoa, Arthropoda, Insecta, Diptera, Glossinidae. The record is from RefSeq and is a predicted model, not a curated record. The transcript is spliced from 9 exons.
CAAUUUCCCUGUUAUCUUAAUAUUCGAAUAAAGCGCACAAUGGCGAAAUGGCUUAACACAAUUGUGGCGCUUCUUAUUUUAAAUAUCUUCUCCUCGAACAUUAUAAUAAUUUUUGCUCAAACCGCAACAUCGUUAAGUAAUAAUUUAGAGCCGGAGCCAUCACUGCCAGAACCUAGAGCUUAUAUACCGAAUGAAAAUAAUUUAGAUUUUGUUUAUCACAGUCAUGAAGAAUUGACCAAAUUCUUAAGAGCCACUAGUGCUCGUUAUCCAAAUCUAACGGCCUUAUAUUCAAUUGGCAAAUCUAUCCAAGGUAAAGAUUUAUGGGUGAUGGUAGUCUCCUCAUCGCCCUAUGAACAUAUGCUGGGUAAACCGGAUGUUAAAUAUGUGGGCAACAUUCAUGGCAACGAACCGGUUGGCCGUGAACUCUUACUUCAUCUAAUACAAUAUUUAGUAACAAGCUACGAAACAGAUCAAUACGUACACUGGCUCUUGGAUAACAUGCGUAUACAUAUUCUGCCUUCUAUGAAUCCAGAUGGUUUCGCUGUUGCAAAGGAGGGCGCCUGCGAAGGUGGCCAGGGAAGAUACAAUGCUCGCGGCUUUGAUUUGAAUCGCAAUUUUCCCGAUUAUUUUAAGCAGAAUAAUAAAAGGGGUCAACCCGAAACCGAUUCAGUAAAAGAUUGGAUUUCAAAAAUACAAUUUGUCUUAAGCGGUAGCUUGCAUGGCGGCGCCUUGGUGGCGAGCUAUCCGUACGACAAUACACCAAAUGCUAGGCGGCUAAAAGGAAUUUGUAGAUCAUCAGCAUUAUGCGCCAUGUUUCAAACUUAUGCCGCGUCGCCUUCUUUGACACCGGAUGACGAUGUCUUUAAGCAUUUGUCUUUAGUUUAUGCUAAAAACCAUGCUAAAAUGUCACGGGGUGUAGCCUGUAAAUCGGCUACACCAGCUUUUGAAAAUGGUAUUACGAACGGUGCCGCCUGGUAUCCGUUGACCGGUGGCAUGCAGGAUUAUCAAUAUGUCUGGUAUGGUUGUAUGGAAGUUACUUUGGAAAUCUCAUGCUGUAAAUAUCCACCCGCUUAUGAAUUGCGUAAAUACUGGGAAGAUAAUCAAUUGUCUCUAAUCAAAUUCCUGGCUGAGGCGCAUCGCGGUGUCCAGGGUUUUGUUUUGGAUAGCAGUGGUACACCCAUAGAAAGAGCUUCAUUAAAGGUUAAGGGCCGUGAUGUCGGCUUUCAAACUACUAAAUAUGGCGAAUUUUGGCGCAUUCUAUUACCUGGUUAUUAUAAAUUGGAGAUUUUUGCUGAAGGCUUUGCGCCACGUGAAAUCGAAUUUGUCGUAGUUGAACAACAUCCCACAUUACUUAAUGUUACCUUACAACCGGCAAAGCAUUUAACUGCUACGCCCAUUUUUAGAACCACAACAAUAAGGAUAGAAACUAAACGUAUGAAAUAAAUAAAUAACCCUUUCCAAUUUGUUUAUGUGGUGAAUAGCUUGCGAACAAUUUUUAGUAAAAUUUGAUUCGAGUGUAUGACUAUAAAUAUUUACUAAACAAAUUAAAAAAAAAAAAAGAAAAGAAAAACAUAUUUCUAUUAUAUAAUUAAUUCACUUUGAAAUUUGUAAGUAUUUAACAAAUUAACCGUUUCGUCGUAUUUAACAUACAUUUUUGUAAGUGUAGUAUUUUUAUCUUUAAAAAAAAUUCGUAACAUAAUUUUCGGCUUUUUUAUUUAAUAACAAAAACGUAUUCGACAUAUAUUUUGUUAUAAAAAAAAACAAAAAAAAACAAAAAAAAAAAUCUCUUUUUAGCGUACGGACAGUGCGAUCAUACAUCAUUAUCGGCCGUUGCCAGGAUCACCGCAGCAUUAUCGUCCGCCACAUCCUCCUCCACCCAGUUAUA